ACCAAAAAACAAAAUGUUUAAUAUCAUUAAAAUAAUAAAUAACACUUGUUCAAAAUUUCAGUCAUAUUCUUUAUCGUUUAUUGUUUACCCAAUGUGAUUCCAAUUCGUGCAUUUAGUUUGUGCAUGAUUAAGUGCUAAAUGAAAAUAUUUCUAAAUUUAAUAUUCUAUCCUGAAAUAGUUUUUUUUUUUAUUUUUUAAGCUCCAACUUCUGAGGUUAUUAGCUUGAACAAAAUUAAAUUAUUAGGUUACAUAUAUGAUUUUACAAUAGUAUUUAUUGAACUAGUUUCACAUAUAAAAUUUUUUUUUUUCCUUAAAAUACAAAUAUACAAUGGCUGAUUAAAUUGAGUUGUACAUAUCGAUUAUUUUAAGAAAUGAGAUUAUUUUGAUGGUGUUGUCAUUGGUUGGGCUGAGGGCUUCAAAGAGUUUAUCAGGCAUUUCUAAUCUUUUUCUGGUAUCUAUAUGGUUACGACAUUGGACAAGGAGGUGCUUGACUGUGAGAGGUUCUCCGCAGGUUUGGCAUAUUGCAGGAUCUUCUCUGCGCAUAAGAUGUCCAUGUGACAUCUUUGAGUGGCCAAUACGUAGCCUGUUGAUGACUACUUCGUCUUUGCGAUUUGAUGUAUGAGGUUUUUUAUUUCCCUUAGUUUAU
Daktulosphaira vitifoliae (grape phylloxera) is the source of this 646-nucleotide long non-coding RNA. RefSeq lists it as uncharacterized. The record is from RefSeq and is a predicted model, not a curated record. Lineage: Eukaryota; Metazoa; Arthropoda; Insecta; Hemiptera; Phylloxeridae. The transcript has 3 exons.